Molecule: long non-coding RNA, 205 nt
Filed under: Elaeis guineensis (African oil palm)
Lineage: Eukaryota; Viridiplantae; Streptophyta; Magnoliopsida; Arecales; Arecaceae
Description: long non-coding RNA (EGUI_LNC015460)
Source: RNAcentral
GGGGGUCUCUUUUAUAGAUGGGAGAGCAUAACUGAUUGAUAGCAAUGUCCAUAACUGUUUGGUAGUGGGCCGUUCAGAGCUAUGUGGAGUUUGUUACAGAGAGUAGUGGUGUCCGUUGUCGUGACUUGUCAGAGAGUGGUGGGACCACGUGGAGUUUGUUACAGAGAGUGGAGUGGUGUCUGUUGUCGUGACUUGCCGAGGAGUU